RNAcentral lists this RNase P RNA (445 nucleotides) under Roseateles sp. DAIF2. Its description in RNAcentral is "Bacterial RNase P class A". It matches the Rfam family "Bacterial RNase P class A". Rfam says of the family: Ribonuclease P (RNase P) is a ubiquitous endoribonuclease, found in archaea, bacteria and eukarya as well as chloroplasts and mitochondria. Lineage: Bacteria; Pseudomonadati; Pseudomonadota; Betaproteobacteria; Burkholderiales; Sphaerotilaceae. The record is from Rfam by way of RNAcentral.
GAAGCAAGCCAGACCGCCGCUGGGGCAAGCGUGGAAACACGGCCCUGGAGGAAGGUCCGGACUGCAUAGAGCGGCGUAGCAGCUAACGGCUGCCCGGCGAAAGCCGAGGAUCAGAGCAACAGAGACGAGUUCUGUCAGACAACCCGAUGGGUGGUCUAUGAGGCGCCAGCGCAAGCUGGCGUGGGGUGGGGCGAAAGCCUCGCACCAUCGGGCGCAAGCCCGAACCGAAUAGCACCUCUGUCGGGCUCUGCCCGACAGAGGUGAAACGGGCAAUCUCUACGCGCAGCAACACCAAGUAGGCCAGCGUUGAUGCGGCUCGCAGAGCUGGCGGGUAGGUGGCACCGAGCCGGGCAGCGAUGCCCGGCCCAGAGGAAUGGCGGUCACGGGAUCGGCUUCGCAAGAGGCCGGUCCCGCACAGAAUCCGGCCUAUCGGCUUGCUUCACUC